CCUACGGGAGGCAGCAGUGGGGAAUAUUGGGCAAUGGGCGCAAGCCUGACCCAGCAACGCCGCGUGAAGGAAGAAGGCUUUCGGGUUGUAAACUUCUUUUAAGAGGGAAGAGCAGAAGACGGUACCUCUUGAAUAAGCCACGGCUAACUACGUGUCAGCAGCCGCGGUAAUACGUAGGUGGCAAGCGUUGUCCGGAUUUACUGGGUGUAAAGGGCGUGCAGCCGGGAAGACAAGUCAGAUGUGAAAGCCCGCGGCUCAACCGCGGAACUGCAUUUGAAACUGUUUUUCUUGAGUACCGGAGAGGUCAUCGGAAUUCCUUGUGUAGCGGUGAAAUGCGUAGAUAUAAGGAAGAACACCAGUGGCGAAGGCGGAUGACUGGACGGCAACUGACGGUGAGGCGCGAAAGCGUGGGGAGCAAACAGGAUUAGAUACCCGUGUAGUC
RNAcentral lists this ribosomal RNA (442 nucleotides) under uncultured bacterium. RNAcentral's name for it is "partial 16S ribosomal RNA". It matches the Rfam family "Bacterial small subunit ribosomal RNA", at positions 338 to 795 of the family's 1533-position model. The record is from RNAcentral.